CGGCGGGUCACCGUUUGUGCGAACUGCUAUUAAUCUAUGAGACGAUCAUGUUUGAAGACGGCGUCCUUGGUGGGAGAAAUCCAAAACCGGCACCAGUUCAUCACCGGUGACAGCAAACAAAAUAGUUACAACUGGAUAUGGCCUUUACAUAUCAACUUUUAGAAAAGGUGUAAUUUUACCGAAGUUUAUUAUCUCCCCUGGAUACAAGAUACAAUGAACUUCAGACCUGUAAUACCUACUUAAUAUUUGGUCAAAACCGUCGUCCAAAAUAUGUCUGUUAAUAACAUAAUAUAGUAUAUAUGGUUUACGUUGAA
Long non-coding RNA from Rhopalosiphum padi (bird cherry-oat aphid), 314 nucleotides. RefSeq lists it as uncharacterized. NCBI's taxonomy places the organism in Eukaryota, Metazoa, Arthropoda, Insecta, Hemiptera, Aphididae. The transcript has 3 exons. The record is from RefSeq and is a predicted model, not a curated record.